GACGAACGCUGGCGGCGUGCUUAACACAUGCAAGUCGAACGGAAAGGCCCUGCUUUUGUGGGGUGCUCGAGUGGCGAACGGGUGAGUAACACGUGUGUAACCUUCCCUUGACUUUGGGAUAACUUCAGGAAACUGGGGCUAAUACCGGAUAGGAUCUCCUGCUGCAUGGUGGUGGUUGGAAAGUUUCGGCGGUUGGGGAUGGACUCGCGGCUUAUCAGCUUGUUGGUUGGGUAGUGGCUUACCAAGGGUUUGACGGGUAGCCGGCCUGAGAGGGUGACCGGCGACAUUGGGACUGAGAUACGGCCCAGAAGGCUACGGGAGGCAGCAGUGGGGAAUAUUGCACAAUGGGCGGAAGCCUGAUGAAGAAACGCGGCGUGCGGGAUGACGGCCUGCGGGUUGUAAAACGCUUGCGCAUGUGACGAAGCGUGAGUGACGGUAAUGGGUAAAGAAGCACCGGCUAACUACGUG
This 468-nucleotide ribosomal RNA is filed under the name uncultured bacterium. RNAcentral describes it as "partial 16S ribosomal RNA". It matches the Rfam family "Bacterial small subunit ribosomal RNA", at positions 28 to 507 of the family's 1533-position model. The record is from RNAcentral.